UACGUAGGGUCCUAGCGUUGUCCGGAGUUAUUGGGCGUAAAGAGCUCGUAGGCGGUCUGUCGCGUCGGUUGUGAAAACCUGGGGCUCAACUCCAGGCCUGCAAUCGAUACGGGCAGACUAGAGUUCGGUAGGGGAGACUGGAAUUCCUGGUGUAGCGGUGAAAUGCGCAGAUAUCAGGAGGAACACCGGUGGCGAAGGCGGGUCUCUGGGCCGAAACUGACGCUGAGGAGCGAAAGCGUGGGGAGCGAACAGG
Molecule: ribosomal RNA, 253 nt
Filed under: uncultured bacterium
Lineage: Bacteria
Description: partial 16S ribosomal RNA
Rfam family: Bacterial small subunit ribosomal RNA
Source: RNAcentral